RNAcentral lists this ribosomal RNA (891 nucleotides) under uncultured bacterium. Its description in RNAcentral is "bacterial SSU rRNA". It matches the Rfam family "Bacterial small subunit ribosomal RNA", at positions 8 to 916 of the family's 1533-position model. The record is from RNAcentral.
AGAGUUUGAUCCUGGCUCAGGACGAACGCUUGCGGCGUGCCUAAUGUAUGCAAGUCGCGCGGUGAACCACCUUCGGGUGGGGAUCAGCGGCGAACGGUUGAGUAACACGUCGGCAACCUGCCCCGAAGUGGGGGAUAACUCAUCGAAAGGUGGGCUAAUACCGCAUAUGGAAGCGAGGCUCCUGCCUCGUUCUCCAAAGCAGCAAUGCGCUUCGGGAUGGGCCGGCGGCCUAUCAGCUUGUUGGUGGGGUAACGGCCUACCAAGGCGGCGACGGGUAGCUGGUCUGAGAGGAUGGUCAGCCAGACAGGGACUGAGACACGGCCCUGACUCCUUUGGGGGGCAGCAAUGAGGAAUAUUGCGCAAUGGGGGCAACCCUGACGCAGCGACGCCGCGUGGGUGAUGAAGUCCUUCGGGAUGUAAAGCCCUUUUGCCGGGGACGAGAAUGGACGGUACCCGGCGAAUAAGCCCCGGCUAACUCCGUGCCAGCAGCCGCGGUAAUACGGAGGGGGCGAGCGUUGUCCGGAUUUACUGGGCGUAAAGCGCGUGUAGGUGGCCGCAUAAGUCGGGUGUGAAAGCCCGGGGCUCAACCCCGGGAUGCCGCCCGAGACUGCGCGGCUUGAGGACGGAAGAGGGGAGUGGAAUUCCUGGUGUAGCGGUGAAAUGCGUAGAGAUCAGGAGGAACACCCGUGGCGAAGGCGGCUCCCUGGUCCGUCCCUGACGCUGAGACGCGAAAGCGUGGGGAGCGAACGGGAUUAGAUACCCCGGUAGUCCACGCCGUAAACGAUGGUCACUAGUGUGCGCGGUAUCGACCCCGCGCGUGCCGUCGCUAACGCAAUAAGUGACCCGCCUGGGGAGUACGGGCGCAAGGUGAAACUCAAAAUGAAUUGACGG